CGCCCAGGCCCCCGAGCAGCCGCAGGACCUCCUGCACGGCCCCCUCCUCCUGAUGCCACCGAGCAGUCAGCGAGGACACCUCCCUCCUGGAGGAGCCGAGCUAUCAUGUCUUAAGCAGCCACUCAUGGAGAGGCCCAGGAACUGAGGCCUCCAACCAAGAUCCUUGUGAGUGUGCCAUCUUGGAAGCAUGACCUCCAGCCCCAGUCAAGCCUUCAGAUGACUGCAGCCCCUCCCCAAAUCAUGACUGCAACCUCAUGAGAGACCCUGAUCCAGAACCAGCCAACUAGGCCACUCCAGCACCCACGGUGGGACUUCUGCUCUGUUGGAGGCAGUGCUGGGCACUAGGACCAUCCCUGACAGGAUCCGACAAACCCACCCGUGGAAUGACACAGCCUUCUUUUUCUUCGCAUUCCCCUUGGCUGGGCUGGUCACCCCCCCAGGA
Molecule: long non-coding RNA, 442 nt
Organism: Hipposideros armiger (great roundleaf bat)
Lineage: Eukaryota; Metazoa; Chordata; Mammalia; Chiroptera; Hipposideridae
Exons: 3
Source: RefSeq, a predicted model, not a curated record